GGCGUGCCUAACACAUGCAAGUCGAGCGAUGAAAUUCCUUCGGGAAUGGAUUANCGGCGGACGGGUGAGUAACACGUGGGUAACCUGCCUCAUANAAGGGAAUNGCCUUCCGNAAGGAANANNAAUACCGCAUNAUGUAGUACCUUCGCAUGAAGGAACUAUCAAAAGANCAAUCUGCUAUGAGAUGGACCCGCGGCGCAUUAGCUANUUGGUGAGGUAACGGCUCACCAAGGCGACNAUGCGUAACCGACCUGAGAGGGUGAUCGGCCACAUUGGAACUGANACACGGUCCAGACUCCUACCGGACUGCAGCAGUGGGGAAUAUUGCGCAAUGGGGGAAACCCUGACGCAGCAACGCCGCNGUGAAUGAAGAANGCCUUCUGGGUUGUAAAGUUCUGUNUUAUNGGAAGAUAAUGACNGUACCAUAUGAGGAAGCCACUGUGCACNUCGUUGCCAGNACCUCAAUUAAUACGUAGGUGGCAAGCGUUUGUCCGGAUUUACUGGGCCGUAAAGGAU
RNAcentral lists this ribosomal RNA (516 nucleotides) under Clostridium sp. EIB 1-6. Its description in RNAcentral is "partial 16S ribosomal RNA". It matches the Rfam family "Bacterial small subunit ribosomal RNA", at positions 41 to 568 of the family's 1533-position model. Lineage: Bacteria; Bacillati; Bacillota; Clostridia; Eubacteriales; Clostridiaceae. The record is from RNAcentral.